UGUUUCUUAUGGAUAGAAUGACUUUUGAAGUUGAAUCCACAAGGCUAGAAAAAAGCAAUGGCAGAUAUUCAGAAAUCAAUCCAAUGAGUGCUCUGAGAAGGAGAUGUAGAUAAAUUGCAUAAGUUCACCUUUCAUUAUUGGAAACGCCCGUCAUUUUUAUGGCUUUUUGUGAUGAACAACAGUAAGUUGAUAUUAUGGGAAUCAAACUUGGUGAAUUGUAAAGCACACCACCAAGGUAAGACAUUAUUAUUUCCUUAGUACCACAGAAAAGAUAAAGAAAUAACUCUUUGACUAAUAUAAGGAAGACAGUAAAAGGGCAUUUAAGACAUUUGAGCUUUUAGUUGUUGUUAGGAUUCAUUUGCUUGGCUGAUAAGUUAACCUUUAAUAAAAAAAUUUCAUAUAGGAGUUCCCGUCAUA
This is a long non-coding RNA of Phacochoerus africanus (Common warthog), 417 nucleotides long. RefSeq lists it as uncharacterized. Lineage: Eukaryota; Metazoa; Chordata; Mammalia; Artiodactyla; Suidae. The record is from RefSeq and is a predicted model, not a curated record. The transcript is spliced from 3 exons.